This 92-nucleotide small RNA is filed under the name Sinorhizobium medicae. RNAcentral describes it as "Atu_Ti1". It matches the Rfam family "Rhizobiales sRNA Atu_Ti1". Lineage: Bacteria; Pseudomonadati; Pseudomonadota; Alphaproteobacteria; Hyphomicrobiales; Rhizobiaceae. The record is from RNAcentral.
GUCCAGUUUGUGGCGGACCAAAGCCAAAAACUUGCGAAGGUGAUCGCGAUAGGCGGCCACAUCCGGGUUGCAAGGCCCAUGAGACCGAUUGU